GCCUUUUGAAAUGAUGUGUGGAGAAUGACUGCAUGGAAAGGGAUGCAUGGAUGGUCUGUACCGAAUUGGAACCAGUGGCGCAUGCUCAUCAAAAGAGCCUAUAUUGAUCAUUUCAAUGACUUAUUUAUCUUUUAAUGCAACUGUCUUUUAGAAACCUUUCCCAGUCACUAAAUCCUGGCAACUGGACAGAGAAAAUUGAAUUACAAACUCAGAAUGCCCUUUACACCACACUGGAUGCUCCCUAUGUCUUUUCUAUUAUUGACAUGCCACUUUUUGACAGUGGUGGUGUAUCAUCCUUAUGGAAAAUUUUGACCUUGGAAGGUGAGACCGCAAAGAUUUUGAGGUUUGAGUGAC
Molecule: long non-coding RNA, 354 nt
Organism: Etheostoma spectabile (orangethroat darter)
Lineage: Eukaryota; Metazoa; Chordata; Actinopteri; Perciformes; Percidae
Exons: 3
Source: RefSeq, a predicted model, not a curated record